AGUGAACGCUGGCGGUAGGCCUAACACAUGCGAGUCGAACGGCAGCACAGUAAGAGCUUGCUCUUACGGGUGGCGAGUGGCGGACGGGUGAGGAAUACAUCGGAAUCUACUUUUUCGUGGGGGAUAACGUAGGGAAACUUACGCUAAUACCGCAUACGACCUACGGGUGAAAGCAGGGGAUCUUCGGACCUUGCGCGAUUGAAUGAGCCGAUGUCGGAUUAGCUAGUUGGCGGGGUAAAGGCCCACCAAGGCGACGAUCCGUAGCUGGUCUGAGAGGAUGAUCAGCCACACUGGAACUGAGACACGGUCCAGACUCCUACGGGAGGCAGCAGUGGGGCAUAUUGGACAAUGGGCGCAAGCCUGAUCCAGCCAUACCGCGUGGGUGAAGAAGGCCUUCGGGUUGUAAAGCCCUUUUGUUGGGAAAGAAAAGCAGCAGGUUAAUACCCCGCUGUUCUGACGGUACCCAAAGAAUAAGCACCGGCUAACUUCGUG
This 492-nucleotide ribosomal RNA is filed under the name uncultured bacterium. Its description in RNAcentral is "partial 16S ribosomal RNA". It matches the Rfam family "Bacterial small subunit ribosomal RNA", at positions 29 to 507 of the family's 1533-position model. The record is from RNAcentral.